Molecule: ribosomal RNA, 427 nt
Filed under: uncultured bacterium
Lineage: Bacteria
Description: partial 16S ribosomal RNA
Rfam family: Bacterial small subunit ribosomal RNA
Source: RNAcentral
UGGGGAAUAUUGCACAAUGGGCGCAAGCCUGAUGCAGCCAUGCCGCGUGUAUGAAGAAGGCCUUCGGGUUGUAAAGUACUUUCAGCGGGGAGGAAGGGAGUAAAGUUAAUACCUUUGCUCAUUGACGUUACCCGCAGAAGAAGCACCGGCUAACUCCGUGCCAGCAGCCGCGGUAAUACGGAGGGUGCAAGCGUUAAUCGGAAUUACUGGGCGUAAAGCGCACGCAGGCGGGUUGUUAAGUCAGAUGUGAAAUCCCCGGGCUCAACCUGGGAACUGCAUCUGAUACUGGCAAGCUUGAGUCUCGUAGAGGGGGGUAGAAUUCCAGGUGUAGCGGUGAAAUGCGUAGAGAUCUGGAGGAAUACCGGUGGCGAAGGCGGCCCCCUGGACGAAGACUGACGCUCAGGUGCGAAAGCGUGGGGAGCAAACA